UACGGAGGGUGCAAGCGUUAUCCGGAAUCACUGGGUUUAAAGGGUGCGUAGGCGGUCAAGUAAGUCAGAGGUGAAAUGCCGUCGCUUAACGUCGGAAUUGCCUUUGAUACUGCUAGACUUGAAUAAGGAUGAGGUGGGCGGAAUGUGGCAUGCAGCGGUGGAAUGCAUAGAUAUGCCAUAGAACACCAAUUGCGAAGGCAGCUCACUGGACCGUGAUUGACGCUGAGGCACGAAAGCGUGGGGAGCAAACAGG
Molecule: ribosomal RNA, 253 nt
Filed under: uncultured bacterium
Lineage: Bacteria
Description: partial 16S ribosomal RNA
Rfam family: Bacterial small subunit ribosomal RNA
Source: RNAcentral